AUACCACCUACUACCCUGGGAAUGAAUGCAGCAGGAGGUACUUAGCUGAGGCCUCCAUUGUCCUUAUGGCAUACAUCUCUGGAGGAUGGUCCAGCCACGAUAAAUUUGCAAUACAGUAGGUCUGCUCUGGCUGGAGCACAGCAGACAUUUUCCUACAGUGCUGGGCUCUCUGAUGUGAGAUACCUGGAACAAAGACCUCCCUAAUCAAAUCAGCCUUUGCCUUUCCGGGUAAGGCCCAGCAUGUCAAUCCUGCUAAAAAGCAGAAGGAAUCCUGAAGCAGAAGGUUGUAAUAUGAUGAGGAGGAACAAAGGAAGAGGUGAGGAAAAGCAAAAUAAUCCCUGGCCUUUGUCACUGAGCUCCUUCCAACAUCCAUUAGUCAAAAAGCUAACCUAGAAUCAUUCAAGGAUAAUUUUUUUUUAAUUUGCUAAAAAAAAAAAAAAGCAUAAGAACAAACCCAAAUGAAUAUAGUGG
Molecule: long non-coding RNA, 471 nt
Filed under: Homo sapiens (human)
Lineage: Eukaryota; Metazoa; Chordata; Mammalia; Primates; Hominidae
Description: HSALNT0135093
Source: RNAcentral